AUUUUUGUAUUUUUACUAGAGACAGGGUUUCUCCGUGUUGGUCAGGCUGGUCUCAAACUCCUGAUCUCAGGUGAUCCACCCGUCUAGGCCUCCCACAGUGCUGGGAUUACAGGCGUGAGCCACCGCACCUGGCCUUCGAACUCUUGAGCUCAGGCAAUCUGCCUGCCUCAGCCUCCCAAAGUGCUAGGAUUACAGGCGUGAGUCACCAUGCCCGGCUGGUCAUUGAGUUUUUAAUUUGUAGAAUACAUGCCAAAAAGUUCUUUUGAUUCCAGGAGAUUGAAUUCUCUCAUCAUUCACCUCUCUGUGGACAGACAAGCUAGACAUCUAUUUGUAUUUAGUAGGUGAUAAUGACCCCUUGGUAAGUGUUACAUCUAGUUACCAUCCCGUGUGAGACACUCAAGUGAGUGGGGUAUGGGGAGAAGCAUGGAAGCAGGACCUUCCUAGGGAGAAGCAAAUCACAGCUGUAAGGAGGGUAGAGACCAGAGGUUUUCCAGCCCAUCCCCACCCUUCUGAGGUCAUUGUCCUGUGUCUUCAGGCAGCAACUCUCAGAUAUUUGCUGUGUUCUUCAUUCGUUACCUUCUAGGCUACGGUUGCCACAGUGUGGUAUAUGUUUAGGGGUUUUCUUCUGGCCUUGGAGACUUUCAGGAGCAUCUGUGGUUUGCUGAGGAGUUAGGUUCACCUUGUUUUGAGCUGUGAAGUGUUGUCCACAAAUAUCUGGCUGGUUGUACAGGGUUGACUUGCAGUGAGAGGCAGUUAUUACCUAUGAGAGAUGGUCAAGGUCAUUUCACAGGGCCCAGAGCAUCAGGGUUGGAAGCAGUUCCUUCUCCAGAUUUCCUCCCAGACUCGGGCUUUGGCCGGAGUGAAGGUAUUGGUAUAGAGUCCACUGCUGGCCUGGCUACCACCGCUCCAGCUAAAUGAAAAAGCACUUGGAACAGAAAGGAGUCUUUGAUGGGGAUGGCAACACAUCCUCCAGGGUUUGAAGGAACAGUUGGGAUAUAAGCUAAGCCCAUCACCUCUGCUGGCAGAGAUCAGAGCACAGCACUUGUGACCCUGAAGGACAAGUCCUAUUUAAACUUUUAGGAUCACCGGCCAUGGUGAGUUCACAAAGAGCUUUGAGAGUUCUUUA
Molecule: long non-coding RNA, 1126 nt
Filed under: Pan troglodytes (chimpanzee)
Lineage: Eukaryota; Metazoa; Chordata; Mammalia; Primates; Hominidae
Description: long non-coding RNA NONPTRT003086
Source: RNAcentral